UACAGAGGGUGCAAGCGUCAAUCGGAAUUACUGGGCGUAAAGGGUGCGUAGGUUGUUAAAUAAGUUAGAUGUGAAAGGCCUGAGCUUAACUUGGGAACUGCAUAUAAUACUGUUUAACUAGAGUACUGUAGAGGGUAGUGGAAUUCCUGGUGUAGCGGUGAAAUGCGUAGAUAUCAGGAGGAACAUCAGUGGCGAAGGCGUCUACCUGGACAGAAACUGACACUGAGGCACGAAAGCGUGGGGAGCAAACAGG
This 253-nucleotide ribosomal RNA is filed under the name uncultured bacterium. RNAcentral describes it as "partial 16S ribosomal RNA". It matches the Rfam family "Bacterial small subunit ribosomal RNA", at positions 524 to 776 of the family's 1533-position model. The record is from RNAcentral.